GAUGAACGCUAGCGGCAGGCCUAACACAUGCAAGUCGAACGGCAGCACGGGAGCAAUCCUGGUGGCGAGUGGCGAACGGGUGAGUAAUAUAUCGGAACGUGCCCAGUAGUGGGGGAUAGCCCGGCGAAAGCCGGAUUAAUACCGCAUACGACCUGAGGGUGAAAGCGGGGGAUCGCAAGACCUCGCGCUAUUGGAGCGGCCGAUAUCAGAUUAGCUAGUUGGUGGGGUAAAGGCCUACCAAGGCUACGAUCUGUAGUUGGUCUGAGAGGACGACCAGCCACACUGGGACUGAGACACGGCCCAGACUCCUACGGGAGGCAGCAGUGGGGAAUUUUGGACAAUGGGCGCAAGCCUGAUCCAGCAAUGCCGCGUGCAGGAAGAAGGCCUUCGGGUUGUAAACUGCUUUUGUCAGGGAAGAAAUCUUCUGGGCUAAUACCCCGGGAGGAUGACGGUACCUGAAGAAUAAGCACCGGCUAACUACGUG
RNAcentral lists this ribosomal RNA (484 nucleotides) under uncultured bacterium. RNAcentral describes it as "bacterial SSU rRNA". It matches the Rfam family "Bacterial small subunit ribosomal RNA", at positions 28 to 507 of the family's 1533-position model. The record is from RNAcentral.